UGAUGAUCAAGCCUUCCUUUGGACAAGCUUAAAUAACUCAGCCACUGUUCUUUGUUGGAGGACUUUGGGACUACUGAUGCAAUGUGUCCACUUGGGGGCCCUUUGGAGAAAAAAUUGCUAAUUUCAGAGGGGCAGCCGCACCAGUGGUUAAGGAAAUCCCUGGGGAGAAAAUGUUUCUGUCUGGAUUAGAGAGAAGACAUCUUAUUUACUCAUUCAAUCUUCAUGAUAAUCUUGUGAAGCUAUAAUUAAUAUCCUUAUUUUUGCAGAUUAGGAAACUAAGACGUACUGAGGCUGGGUGCCUGGUUCAAGAUCAUAUAGCUAACAUUAUUGGACAUGCAAAUCAAGCCCAGAUUUGUGACUCUGAGCUGAUGUUAAUUCUGUCACAAUAUUGGUUCUCAAGAUAAAUCUUUCCAGGUGAGGGGGAAAGGGAAUAAAUAUCUAGAAGUCCCCUUAAACAGAAGUAAUUAAUUCGUUUGCAGAAAUUGGCAAAAUUUGGGGUUCCCUUCUUAAAAGUUUCCUUCUGUCACUUGGAAAAAAUUUAAAAUAUGUGCAUUAGGUUGACAAAGAUCAAAAAAGUUAAAAAAAAAACCCUUUUUGGAAUGCUGUGGAGAAAGG
This 615-nucleotide long non-coding RNA is filed under the name Homo sapiens (human). RNAcentral's name for it is "non-protein coding lnc-ATP5MG-1:1". Lineage: Eukaryota; Metazoa; Chordata; Mammalia; Primates; Hominidae. The record is from RNAcentral.